This 273-nucleotide long non-coding RNA is filed under the name Ananas comosus (pineapple). RNAcentral describes it as "long non-coding RNA (ACOM_LNC007481)". Lineage: Eukaryota; Viridiplantae; Streptophyta; Magnoliopsida; Poales; Bromeliaceae. The record is from RNAcentral.
GUUGGGCAUGUUUUGAAAUUAGGGUUUUUUAAAAGACAUGCAUCUUUUCUACCUCACUUGUGACUAUAAAGAAACUUUUGCUCCAUCUAUGUUUGUGAACGUACGUGUAUAGGCUAGUGGCCAAACAAUGCAAAUUAUUUGUUAGAUUUAUUUUCUUCUUUCUCUCUUAAUUCUAUUUGGUGUUUCCAAAUUAGAAUUUUUUAGUCUUUAUCAUACCACUGAAAUUAGUACACGUAAAAUCAGUCACUUUGAUUCCUUGUGUGAGAAUUAUUC